UACGUAGGGGGCGAGCGUUUCCGGAUUCAUUGGGCGUAAAGCGCUUUAAGGCGGUUCGCUAAGUCGCGUGUGAAACCUGCAGGCUCAACCUGGAGACGCCACGCGAUACUGGCGUGACUAGAGUUCGGUAGGGGAUCACGGAAUUCCUGGUGUAGCGGUGAAAUGCGCAGAUAUCAGGAGGAACACCAGUGUCGAAGGCGCACAUCUGGCCCGAUACUGACGCUGAGGCGCGAAAGCUAGGGGAGCAAACGGG
Molecule: ribosomal RNA, 253 nt
Filed under: uncultured bacterium
Lineage: Bacteria
Description: partial 16S ribosomal RNA
Rfam family: Bacterial small subunit ribosomal RNA
Source: RNAcentral